GUCCAGGGGCGGGAAUCGAACCCACACCCUUCUGCUUACCGGGCAGGUGCCUUGGCCACUCGGCUACCCUGGA
This 73-nucleotide transfer RNA is filed under the name Cordylochernes scorpioides. RNAcentral's name for it is "tRNA-Thr". The record is from RNAcentral. Lineage: Eukaryota; Metazoa; Arthropoda; Arachnida; Pseudoscorpiones; Chernetidae.